UGGCUGUCGUCAGCUCGUGUCGUGAGAUGUUGGGUUAAGUCCCGCAACGAGCGCAACCCUUGUCCCUAGUUGCCAGCACUUCGGGUGGGAACUCUAGGGAGACUGCCGGUGACAAACCGGAGGAAGGUGGGGACGACGUCAAGUCAUCAUGGCCCUUAUGGGCAGGGCUACACACGUGCUACAAUGGCGAAUACAGAGGGUUGCGAGUCUAGCAAUAGUCAGCUAAUCCCUUAAAGCUCGUCGUAGUCCGGAUCGGAGUCUGCAACUCGACUCCGUGAAGUCGGAAUCGCUAGUAAUCGCGAAUCAGAAUGACGCGGUGAAUACGUUCCCGGGUCUUGUACACACCGCCCGUCACACCAUGGAAGUAGGUUGUACCAGCAGUAGGUAGCUUACCCUCGGGAGGGCG
This 406-nucleotide ribosomal RNA is filed under the name uncultured Gammaproteobacteria bacterium. RNAcentral describes it as "bacterial SSU rRNA". It matches the Rfam family "Bacterial small subunit ribosomal RNA", at positions 1046 to 1452 of the family's 1533-position model. The record is from RNAcentral. Lineage: Bacteria; Pseudomonadati; Pseudomonadota; Gammaproteobacteria.